This 465-nucleotide ribosomal RNA is filed under the name uncultured bacterium. RNAcentral's name for it is "bacterial SSU rRNA". It matches the Rfam family "Bacterial small subunit ribosomal RNA", at positions 330 to 793 of the family's 1533-position model. The record is from RNAcentral.
GCCAGACUCCUACGGGAGGCAGCAGUGAGGAAUAUUGGUCAAUGGGCGCGAGCCUGAACCAGCCAAGUCGCGUGAGGGAUGACGGUCCUAUGGAUUGUAAACCUCUUUUGUCAGGGAGCAAAGGGCGCCACGUGUGGCGUUUUGCGAGUACCUGAAGAAAAAGCAUCGGCUAACUCCGUGCCAGCAGCCGCGGUAAUACGGAGGAUGCGAGCGUUAUCCGGAUUUAUUGGGUUUAAAGGGUGCGCAGGCGGAAUGUCAAGUCAGCGGUAAAAUUUCGGGGCUCAACCCCGUCGUGCCGUUGAAACUGGCGUUCUUGAGUGAGCGAGAAGUAUGCGGAAUGCGUGGUGUAGCGGUGAAAUGCAUAGAUAUCACGCAGAACCCCGAUUGCGAAGGCAGCAUGCCGGCUUCCGACUGACGCUGAAGCACGAAAGCGUGGGGAUCGAACAGGAUUAGAUACCCCAGUAG